AUUUCAUCAAGAGUAGCUGAGGGAUUGGCCCUAUGAAGCUACGGCAACCAUUCAUACUGAAACGGUGCCAAUUCCAUCGGAUUUCCCGAAAGAUGAACA
Molecule: non-coding RNA, 99 nt
Filed under: Dialister micraerophilus
Lineage: Bacteria; Bacillati; Bacillota; Negativicutes; Veillonellales; Veillonellaceae
Also listed under: 1 other name
Description: SAM-I sequence
Rfam family: SAM riboswitch aptamer (S box leader)
About the family: The SAM riboswitch is found upstream of a number of genes which code for proteins involved in methionine or cysteine biosynthesis in Gram-positive bacteria.
Source: RNAcentral